Long non-coding RNA from Actinia tenebrosa (Australian red waratah sea anemone), 289 nucleotides. RefSeq lists it as uncharacterized. NCBI's taxonomy places the organism in Eukaryota, Metazoa, Cnidaria, Anthozoa, Actiniaria, Actiniidae. The record is from RefSeq and is a predicted model, not a curated record.
GGAUAGAAAGAUGCUUGUAGGAAGAUGUCAUGAAGCAGGGCAACAACUAUCUGUUAUAUUACAAGGUUCAACAGGAAAUGAUAGAAAGGUUCUGCUAGGAAGAUGUCAUGAAGCAACACAAAAAGUAUCCUGUAAAAGGUUCAACAGGAAAAUUUAGGUUUGGGUGGCAUUAUGCAAGUGUACCACAGUAAUCAGUGGGGAACCGUGUGUGCAUAUUAUUCUUAUCACUUUGAUAUGAAUGAUUCCAAGGUCGCAUGCCGUCAACUUGGUUUUACCAAAGCUGUAGGAU